Molecule: ribosomal RNA, 519 nt
Filed under: uncultured microorganism
Description: bacterial SSU rRNA
Rfam family: Bacterial small subunit ribosomal RNA
Source: RNAcentral
GAGUUUGAUCUUGGCUCAGAUUGAACGCUGGCGGCAGGCUUAACACAUGCAAGUCGAGCGGGGGAGGUUGCUUCGGUAACUGACCUAGCGGCGGACGGGUGAGUAAUACUUAGGAAUCUGCCUAUUAAUGGGGACAACAUCUCGAAAGGGAUGCUAAUACCGCAUACGCCCUACGGGGGAAAGCAGGGGAUCACUUGUGACCUUGCGUUAAUAGAUGAGCCUAAGUCGGAUUAGCUAGUUGGUGGGGUAAAGGCCUACCAAGGCGACGAUCUGUAGCGGGUCUGAGAGGAUGAUCCGCCACACUGGGACUGAGACACGGCCCAGACUCCUACGGGAGGCAGCAGUGGGGAAUAUUGGACAAUGGGGGGAACCCUGAUCCAGCCAUGCCGCGUGUGUGAAGAAGGCCUUAUGGUUGUAAAGCACUUUAAGCGAGGAGGAGGCUCUUCUAGUUAAUACCUAGGAUGAGUGGACGUUACUCGCAGAAUAAGCACCGGCUAACUCUGUGCCAGCAGCCGCCGU